CAGCGGAACUGAGCAGCACAUGCUCGGAGCUUUCAUGCCAUCGACUUCUGAUUAUUUCUGCUUUCUUGAGACGCAGCCACCAGCAUGGGACCAAAUGCAGCCCUGGAGAGAAGCCGUCUGUACAGCGACACUCACAGACCCUCCCCUGGAUACAGGCAGCCCCGCGUGUGCGGCGGAGCCUGUGUGAAAUGGACAGACGCUCAGGUUUAUUGUAGAAAAUCUGGAAGAUACCAAACCGUAAAAACUGGAAUUCUAUCAACAAGCGAUAACCACUGUUAACAUUCAGCUCUUGGGCCAGCCCCGUGGCUUAGCAGUUAAGUGCACGCGCUCCGCUGCUGGCGGCCCGGGUUCGGAUUCCCGGCGCGCACCGACGCAUCGCUUCUCCGGCCAUGCUGAGGCCGAGUCCCACAUACAGCAGCUAGAAGUAUGUGCAGCUAUGACAUACAACUAUCUAUUGGGGUUUUGGGGGAAAAAACAAGUAAAAUUUAAAAAAAUAAAAAAUAAAAGCUCUUAAUAUAUUUGA
This is a long non-coding RNA of Diceros bicornis minor, 523 nucleotides long. RefSeq lists it as uncharacterized. The transcript is spliced from 3 exons. Lineage: Eukaryota; Metazoa; Chordata; Mammalia; Perissodactyla; Rhinocerotidae. The record is from RefSeq and is a predicted model, not a curated record.